This is a long non-coding RNA of Erigeron canadensis, 158 nucleotides long. RefSeq lists it as uncharacterized. NCBI's taxonomy places the organism in Eukaryota, Viridiplantae, Streptophyta, Magnoliopsida, Asterales, Asteraceae. The record is from RefSeq and is a predicted model, not a curated record. The transcript is spliced from 3 exons.
GUACAUCAUUUGCUCAGAGGCAACGUGGGAUUUUUGGGCCAAUUACUGCAUACCCAAGCUUAUUCGCUACUUGGGCUGAGUCACAUCAACAUGAGGAUGGGUCGUGGACAAGUGAGCUCAGGGCUAAGCAGCAUUUUUGUAGGUGGAGUCUAUGAACA